ACUGGAACAAGCUCGUGGUGUCUACGAGCAUGCUUUAAAGAUAAAGAGGCGUGUCUUAGAGGAGGUUCAUCCAGACUAUGCUGACACUAUGUAUCAUCUGGGAACAGUAAGGCCACAGUUUCUGCUCUACUUCAUCUUUAUAUAUUUCUGAUGGUUGGCAUAAAAGUAUACUUUCUGAUACACAGUAAGUUUGGGGCACAACAUGCCAAUGCUUUUAUAUUGGUCACAAACAGCUUAUAACCAGUCUGAAAUGGAGGCCCACACAAAAUGAUGGAGAAUUGGGCAAUGUUACAACUUCAAUUGAACAAGCGAAUAGCAGAAAUAGAGAUACAUUGUAGCUAGCAAACAAUUAACCAGAGGGAUACACAAUUUUGUUCAUGGACUUGAUUACUUGACUAUCUUUCUCUCUAUCUCCUGUGUUUAUCCCAAUAUGACUGGAAUAAUGCAUUCUAUUGGUUUCGAUACAAAAUCAAGAAAUAAAGACAUCUUUUCUUAAAUGAAAACACAAGAAGACAGAGGAGAAAAAGGCUACCAAAUGAAUCACCUUACCAAGCUGACAUAUCAAACUUUAAAAGAAGAGAUCUCCUUCUCAGCUGCCUCUUAUGCAAGAUCUCUAAUCAAUCCCUUUUUUCUCCUACAACUGCAUGCAUUUCAUUCGUUCAAGUUCUGUUUUAUCUUUAAUUAAGCCAGUUUUUCAGAUACCAACUUUCCAUAUGAACCGAAAUUAAUUUUACUUUCCUCUUUCAAAAAAUGAAAUGAAUUUAGAGAUAGUCAUAAUUGCUCCGACUUCAAUGCCCAUCUGAUCUCCUCUAAUGAUUGAGAGUUUAGGAAUAUGCCUCAAAUCAAUGUAAUGAUCAUAUUGCUGAGCUAAAGAGUGUCACAUUUCUUAAUGCAUAUCAGCUAAAUUAAAAUGACAAAAUUACCCUUAGAGCACAAGCAGGCAUGUUGAAACCUAGCCUUUUCUAAUAUAUUAGAAAGUAGAAUAUUGAUCAUCUCAACAAAAUUAUUACUGAAGUAAAAUCUAACACAAAGAAAACUGGAACAAGCUCGUGGUGUCUACGAGCAUGCUUUAAAGAUAAAGAGGCGUGUCUUAGAGGAGGUUCAUCCAGACUAUGCUGACACUAUGUAUCAUCUGGGAACAGUAAGGCCACAGUUUCUGCUCUACUUCAUCUUUAUAUAUUUCUGAUGGUUGGCAUAAAAGUAUACUUUCUGAUACACAGUAAGUUUGGGGCACAACAUGCCAAUGCU
RNAcentral lists this long non-coding RNA (1248 nucleotides) under Capsicum annuum. Its description in RNAcentral is "long non-coding RNA (CANN_LNC020235)". The record is from RNAcentral. Lineage: Eukaryota; Viridiplantae; Streptophyta; Magnoliopsida; Solanales; Solanaceae.